CCUCAAAACUAUAUUUGUAGAACCAGAUUUUUUAUGUCAGUUACCAGGAAUAGAUGAAUAAAUGAAAUUGUAUUAUGUCCUGCAAGUAAAAAAGUAUAAAUACAACCUAUAAGGAAAAGGAACAAGCAUAGCACUAGAAGACUGUAGGUCACAUGUAGGGUACUGCACUGUUGGUACAAGAUCUUUUAAUUUCAGUGAAUGUCACAGAUGUUGGAAAGAUCAAGUCAAGGACUUGUGUUCUCGCCUAAGAGGAAAACUAAACUAAGCACGUAGGUGGAGAUAAGGGUUUAGACUUGGCAAACACAGGUAUAAAAAAUUGGUAUAAAAACUACCUGACCCUUUCCUGAGCAACAUUUAACGCUCCAGACACAGUCCUUAAGAAACGUUUGUCCUUAAUCCAGUCGCGCAGACUUCUUGGAGCUGGAUGCGAAGGUGGGCAGUAGAAGAGAUUUGAAGUGAUAGCUCACUGGUGGAAAGAAAGGACUCCAUUGUCAUCUCGCCUGUCUCCCUGAAACAGCUUUCUGUGCUUCUGAAGACAAAAAAGAAAGAAAGAAAGAGAGAGAGUGGAGUUUCGCACAGCAGCUGCUCCUGUGGAUGUUUCUGCAUUACGUCAAUGCCAACGAAGAAAGGGAAGGAAGAAUCUUAAAACAGAGAGAGCGAGGAAUUAAAGGAGAGAGAGAGAGGCACGCUCCACAAAUCGAGCCGGGGUUUUAUGGCGCUUUAUCUCCUCUGAAGUUCUCGUGACAAGGCUGUCAUUGUUACCGGAGCAGGAGGAAGAGGGGGAGCGGGUGAGCCGAGUUGAAUAGACCCCCCCCCCCAGCAUUCCCGGGACACGGGGACGACAGCCCGGCAAGGGCUCAACACCGCGUCCUUAAUUAUCCGCGGGUCAACAUGUUCACGGGUUGGCUCGUGGUGGUGCUGGUGGUGAUCAUUCUGACGAGGCGCCUUCUGUGGUACUGCAUCUGUGCGCUCGUCGGGGAGAAGUUAGGAUUCCAGAGGCGGGUGGGGCGGGGGGGUUCAAGGGGGCGGGGGUUAAUGCACGGGGGAAGGGGGGAGGGGGGUAAUAAGGCGGUAGGACAGAAGCACUGAGCUCCUGUCUGAAACAGCAUUCUGAGUGAGCUUCCUCUCAUUUAAUGCCUCUUACAGUAAAUUACCAUGAAUUACAACUGAACACACAGAUCUUCCUGCUUUACCGACUCACAUUUGGUGUUUGUAAUUACUUCCUAAUUCAAGUUGGCUGUUCAGUCCCACAGGAGAUACCAUUGUAAUGCUUGUUGGAAGGGAAAUUUGUGGCAGAACUUACAGUACCCAUGAUGUAAUCAGGAUGAAUGCUCUGUGAAACAAUAACAUUGUUAAUAAAUCUAAAUAUACUCA
This is a long non-coding RNA of Anguilla rostrata (American eel), 1374 nucleotides long. RefSeq lists it as uncharacterized. The transcript has 2 exons. The record is from RefSeq and is a predicted model, not a curated record. NCBI's taxonomy places the organism in Eukaryota, Metazoa, Chordata, Actinopteri, Anguilliformes, Anguillidae.